UCUUCGAAAAACAGAAAGAGAGUUCUACUUAGUGAGGGUUAUAAUACCUAAACGCUGCCGAAGGCCGUCUACACAGAAAGGCGUUAUCUGCAAAAGUUGUUCAGCCCCUCCUCUUCGCAAAACAGAAAGAGAAUUCUACUUAGUGAGGGUUAUAGUCCCUGAAUGCGGCCGAAGGCAGCCUACGCAGAAAGGUGUUCUCUGCAAAAGGUGUUCAGCCCCUUUUCUUCGCAAAACAGAAAGAUAAUGCUACUUAGUGAGGGUUAUAAUCCCUAAAUGCGGCGGAAGGCCGCCUUCGCAGAAAGGCUUUCUCUGCAAAAUGUGUUCAGCCUCUUUUCUUCGCAAAACAAAGAGAGUUCUACUUUGUAAGGGUUAUAAUCCCUAAGUGCGGCCGAAGGCCGCCUACGCAGAAAGCUGUUCUCUGCAAAAGGUAUUCAGCUCAUUUUCUUCGCAAA
Rhagoletis zephyria (snowberry fruit fly) is the source of this 452-nucleotide long non-coding RNA. RefSeq lists it as uncharacterized. The record is from RefSeq and is a predicted model, not a curated record. Lineage: Eukaryota; Metazoa; Arthropoda; Insecta; Diptera; Tephritidae.